Molecule: ribosomal RNA, 881 nt
Filed under: uncultured bacterium
Lineage: Bacteria
Description: bacterial SSU rRNA
Rfam family: Bacterial small subunit ribosomal RNA
Source: RNAcentral
CAAGUCGAACGGGACUUUUUUCUGUAGCAAUACAGAGAAAAGUCUAGUGGCGAACGGGUGCGUAACACGUGAGCAACCUGCCGUGAAGUGGGGGAUAGCUCGCCGAAAGGCGAAUUAAUACCGCAUGUGGCCAGGAAGGACAUCCUUCCGACGCCAAAGCCGGGGCAACCUGGCGCUUCUCGAGGGGCUCGCGGCCUAUCAGCUUGUUGGUGAGGUAACGGCUCACCAAGGCUAUGACGGGUAGCUGGUCUGAGAGGACGACCAGCCACACUGGAACUGAGACACGGUCCAGACACCUACGGGUGGCAGCAGUCGAGAAUUUUCCACAAUGGGGGAAACCCUGAUGGAGCGACGCCGCGUGGAGGAUGAAGGUUUUCGGAUUGUAAACUCCUGUCAUUAGAGAACAAGGCACACGGUUUAACUGGCCGUGUGUUGAUAGUAUCUGAAGAGGAAGAGACGGCUAACUCUGUGCCAGCAGCCGCGGUAAUACAGAGGUCUCAAGCGUUGUUCGGAUUCAUUGGGCGUAAAGGGUGCGUAGGUGGCGAUGUAAGUCGGAUGUGAAAUCUCCAAGCUUAACUUGGAAACUGCAUUCGAUACUGCGUUGCUAGAGGACUGUAGAGGGCAUUGGAAUUCACGGUGUAGCAGUGAAAUGCGUAGAUAUCGUGAGGAAGACCAGUGGCGAAGGCGAAUGCCUGGGCAGUUCCUGACACUGAGGCACGAAGGCCAGGGGAGCAAACGGGAUUAGAUACCCCGGUAGUCCUGGCAGUAAACGGUGCACGUUUGGUGUGGGAGGAUUCGACCCCUUCCGUGCCGGAGCUAACGCGUUAAACGUGCCGCCUGGGGAGUACGGUCGCAAGAUUAAAACUCAAAGAAAUUGACGG